UACAGAGGGGGCAAGCGUUGUUCGGAAUUACUGGGCGUAAAGGGCGCGUAGGCGGCCUGCUAAGUCGAACGUGAAAUCCCUGGGCUCAACCCAGGAACUGCGUCCGAUACUGGUUGGCUUGAAUCCGGGAGAGGGACGUGGAAUUCCAGGUGUAGCGGUGAAAUGCGUAGAUAUCUGGAGGAACACCGGUGGCGAAGGCGAUGUCCUGGACCGGCAUUGACGCUGAGGCGCGAAAGCCAGGGGAGCAAACAGG
Molecule: ribosomal RNA, 253 nt
Filed under: uncultured bacterium
Lineage: Bacteria
Description: partial 16S ribosomal RNA
Rfam family: Bacterial small subunit ribosomal RNA
Source: RNAcentral